CUCCAUCUCUUAAAAUCACACCCCGCCCACAGGUCAUCCAUGAGGAGUCUUUAGACUGACUGGGCUCUCUUCACACUGACAUUUUUUUAAUGUAUCUGUCUCCUCCCCCAUCCCAGGCCAGGGACGCCUCGUGGCAGGUCUCCGUCUUGCUCAUCUGUGCUUCUCCCAGGAUCUGGCAGAGUACUUGCCAUAAACCUAGCAGUCCAUGACUUUAAAAGAAUGAAAUUCAAACAGAAAGAACAGGUUCCUGGGCCAGAACAGCAGUUCUCAGAGCUCACCUCCUGCCUGCUGAGCAGUUCCCGUGUUCAAAUUCCACACUGCUUCCUCACCUUCGCCAAGCCACUUCCACCUCCUGUGCCCUGGCCUUCAUUCAAGCUGGAAUGGGCUGAGGAACAUCAUACAGACAAAGAAGUUGGCAUGACCUUUGUCAGUUUUGAGGGAGACCUUUGGCAAGCGGUCUCUGUCAAGCUCACAUUUGCUUGUAGCCCUAAACUCGUUUAAACGAAUAGAGCAG
Molecule: long non-coding RNA, 514 nt
Filed under: Equus asinus (donkey)
Lineage: Eukaryota; Metazoa; Chordata; Mammalia; Perissodactyla; Equidae
Description: lncRNA (ENSEASG00005038249.1)
Source: RNAcentral